GACGAACGCUGGCGGCGUGCUUAACACAUGCAAGUCGAACGGAAAGGCCCUGCUUGCAGGGUACUCGAGUGGCGAACGGGUGAGUAACACGUGGGUGAUCUGCCCUGCACUUCGGGAUAAGCCUGGGAAACUGGGUCUAAUACCGGAUAGGACCAUCGUUUAGUGUCGGUGGUGGAAAGUUUUUCGGUGCAGGCUGAGCUCGCGGCCUAUCAGCUUGGUGGUGGGGUAAUGGCCUACCAAGGCGUCGACGGGUAGCCGGCCUGAGAGGGUGGACGGCCACAUUGGGACUGAGACGCGGCCCAGACUCCUACGGGAGGCAGUAGUGGGGAAUAUUGCACAAUGGGCGCAAGCCUGAUGCAGCGACGCCGCGUGGGGGAUGAAGGCCUUCGGGUUGUAAACUCCUUUCAACCAUGACGAAGCAUUAUGUGACGGUAGUGGUAGAAGAAGCACCGGCUAACUACGUGCCAGCAGCCGCCGUAA
This 480-nucleotide ribosomal RNA is filed under the name uncultured bacterium. Its description in RNAcentral is "partial 16S ribosomal RNA". It matches the Rfam family "Bacterial small subunit ribosomal RNA", at positions 28 to 523 of the family's 1533-position model. The record is from RNAcentral.